GUUUCAGUUUUGCAAGAUGAGAAACUUCUGAGGUUGGUUGGGCAAGAAUGCACUGUUUGGUACUUCAAGACUAUGAAAGAUUUUAUUUUCUCAGGAAAUGCGUUGUUCACCGUGGAUCUAAUAGAAUAAGCUCGUUGUCUGAAAAGGUUGGACACAAGCUACAAAUCAUAUAAGCUCCACAAAAUAUAACAGUAUUUUGCAAAGCAAAAACACAUUCAGCGGGAAGAAUGGCAUUGUUUUACAUUUUGCCAAUCUCUUUGAUGUCUGGCCUAACAAAAGGCAGUUGGAUUCAACAAUCUGCUUCUGCAUUGACACCAAUUGCCACGUGUUGUUUUUGUUGAAGUACAUAGAUGAAGAAAACCCUGCCUCACCCAGAUUGGUGGUUGGAAAAGGAAGGACCCGACAUAACCCUCCGAAAGAUUUCUGGGCUCACGGCGAUCCUCUGCCUACACUUUAAGAAUCACGGACUAUAAGUACUGGUCUAUCUUUUCAUGCUACAGUUUCCUUUUUGUAAACAUAUGGUGAUAAUAAUAGUAUUUCAAAGUAUUCUGAAAUUAUAACAUGAAAACUGCUAUAGUGGCAGGCAGAAAUCUACACCUGUUCAUAAAAUAGGAAAACGCUUUCUCUGGGGCAUUUAGGAGACAUGUAACUAUCCAAAGUAAGGUGGUUACUAAAGCAAUAGAUAUUUCCAAUAGAUAUGUGGGUUUCACAUUUCAUCACUGCAACCAAAAACUAGGAGUUUUCUAAAGAAAGUUUUAAAGUUUCUUAUGUGGCUUUGGUAAAGAAACAUUUUUUUUUUUUUUUUGUCCAGGGGUAAGAUAAGAAUUCUGGCUCACUUUUAAAGUGGAGAUAUAUUUCUCUGAAACCCAUUGCAUAGUUAUCUUGGCAUUCUUUGAUAUAAAAUGUACUCAUGUGUCUCGUUUUAGCUUAGGUCAAGGGUGGAACUAAUCCCUAUUGGACCUUUUAAAGGCAGAAUGUGAGUUUCUCAUGACAGACCUCAUAAUGGGUUCUGUGCACUGCAACCGAUCAGAUAUGAGCUAGAAUGCUUGUAAUAUACAUACUCUGCAGUGAGCUUGAUUGCAUGCACUCUGUGCAGCUUAAACCUGGGGAUGACUCACAAGGCCAAUUUACAGCAGCACACAUUCUGUUUCAUCUGAAGCAGCGACUCAGCUUGGGAAGGUGGGAAGGUAGGACCUGGGGGGCAGGAUGACACAGAACCCUCUGUCCUUGAUCCCCACCCCAGAGGUCAAGGGGAUUGUCCACCCCCUGCCCCCUCCCCCCCCAGGAGAACCACACUCUAGUUCGGUGGUUGCUUUGAGGGCCAGGCAUGGGGUGGGGCAUAGAUGUUUUCCUCCGAUCUGCCGCCAAUAUGGAUUGUAUCUCAACGUAGCAUCUUAUGGUGAUUGAGGAGUGGUUGCAGCCCGGAUUUCAGAGAGCAUGAGUUGAGUCAGCAUUUGGCAAAUGGAGAUAACGGCUGGGUGAGGACAAAGUGAGAAAGGAUAAGAAAGUGUUUUUGAAAAUGUGUCAGGUGCAAAAAUUGUUAUUAUUGUUCUUAAGCGAGGAAACCGUAAACCUAGUAAACUGAGUAAACCGUAAACCUAGUAAACUGUCCUAGGGUGAGGAACUACGGUGAACAGGGACACACCAGGCCUGAGGGGGUUCUUUGCUUUUCUUCUAGCAGGUCAGGGAAAAGAAUGUGCUGGAUCCUUCCCAGAUCUUCUUGUUAUGCUAAUCCUCUCCGUGGAGCUCCUGAAGGGAACUGGCUAAAAAGCCACUUGUUGAUCCCCUAACCCUCCCUUAAGUCACAGAUGAAAGGGACAGUCUGGUGCUGAAUACUUUUAUUUCCCUAAAUAAUCUGGUUACUGUUCUGCCAAAACUGAUUGUAGCCUUCAUUGUCAAUGACUUUACUUUUCAACUUCUUUGACAUCUGAAAGUAGCUGAAAAAAUCAUGGAAUAUACUCAUUGUGACAAUAUUAAAUACUUAAGUGUGCACGUCCAGUGUUUAAAAAGUCCUCUAUUAGUUAUUUUUUUCAGUUUUUAAAGUAAGCCUUGGCACUGAAAUAAUUUUGGAAUUUAGCUAUUGGUUCUUGAAUGAAACCUUAACUUAUUUGUGUUUAAUUAGACUUCAAUUGCUUCACUUAAAAAAGGUCACCUAAAUUUGGAAAAGACAACUGCUUUUAAUUGUGACUAUCUCACGCUUGCUGAAUUUUCUCAGAAAGGUUAAAUUACUUUUUUCUAUUUACUAAGGAACAUUUCUGCAUACUUCCACCACAACGGCACACCCAAAAUAUCUGGGGUUCUAAAGGAAUGAGGCAAUCAUAUUUUAAUGGAUUAGGCUUUGAUUCCUUGUGACUGCAGCAUUAUCAGCUUGCCAUAUGCAACUAUUUUAGAUUAUACACACCAAAUUCGCUUUGCUGCAAUAAUGGAACUGUUUAUCGUGAGUCUAUUAUUGGUGUUGCAGGUUGAAUAGGAAAAUGUCUACAAAACACUUAGAAUUUCUAGAGAUAGCCGGGUCAUGAACUGAAGUGACUUUAUUUCUAGAGAGCUAGGGUAGGAUAAACUGAGUGACUGAGGGAGAGGGUUCAAUAGGAAUCAAGGUGGAGAGAAAAGACAAAUACCAUAUGAUUUCACUCAUAUGUGAAAAUUUCUUUUUAAGAUUUUAUUUGUCAGACAGAGGGACAGCACAAGCAGGGAAAGCAUCAGACUCCCCACUGUGCAAGAAAC
Zalophus californianus (California sea lion) is the source of this 2724-nucleotide long non-coding RNA. RefSeq lists it as uncharacterized. Lineage: Eukaryota; Metazoa; Chordata; Mammalia; Carnivora; Otariidae. The transcript has 3 exons. The record is from RefSeq and is a predicted model, not a curated record.